AUAUACAAGCCCAAAACGUGAAACAAGUCAGUUUAACAAUAUUUGCUAUAACAUUCUAAUCCUGCAAAUCCAUUUAUUUCUGAAAAUUGCAGCAAGAGCAAAUGUUGUACAUUGCCUUUAACAGUAGAGUGACCUUAAAAUCGGCCAGUUGAGGAAGAAGAAAAAAACCUGAGCAAAGAUAGUUUGAAUAUUAGAGCAGAUGCCAAAGUUGGUUACUGAGUUGGUGGAACAUUGGAGCUGUAUUGCCACGGUCUUGGGUUCAUAUCCAGGAAGCUGUCGAAUAUUUGUCUCUAAGUUCAAAUAAGUAUAUAUGUGCGGACUAUGCACCUACAUUUAGUCUGUCUUAUCUUAAUAAUUUCCACUGAGUUAAAGUUCUGUAGUUGAGAAUUGAAUUAAAAGUGUUUGUUCUCAUUUAUAGUAGAGAAUUUGGCCAAACAAAAAAUGUCCAUCUUAUGAAAAAAAUCAGAACAAACCUCACCCUAUAAAACAACUCUCAUUCUAGAUGUAGUUUAUAAGCAGACCAAAGUAAACCACAAAGGCCAAGAGCACCAACAGUUUCAAGUACCAUAUGACUUGGAGCACUACAGCUCAAUGCAGUUAACGACAAUGCAAUUAACGACCUAUUUACUAUAGGCCAAACUGAACACUUCAUAACACCACAAAGCUAUGAUAAAUUGUGUAUGUACAUAUCCCAAGCAGUUUAGUAAGUCGAUUUUCCUUGAACAAAAUUUGCACUUUUUACCUUAUUAGAGUGUCCAGUAAGGGAUACAUUUGUAAUGUGUAUUUAGUACAGGUCACAUCUGAAUUAAUUGGCUACGGCCUAUAUUUACACACAUGCCUAUGGAAGCAGCUGAAGCCAUAGCCCAUAGACACGUAUGUUCCUGACAGCCGUAGUAAUCAGACAUUGCCUUCCAUAGAACUUUUAUUCAAAUUACAUUAUCAAUUUGGAAUACUUCCAAGGGGAAAAUAUUAUUUUUUUGUAAUCCUUCAACAAUGCAAACAAAUAAGUGUUUAUUGUAAAAAAAAAAAUUGUUGACGAUAAUUUCUAGUUUUAGCUGUCCAAAUUUAAAAUAAUCUUAAUUGUUAAUAAAAUACCAAAAAACCUCUCUUGAGCAUUGUACAUACUUGACGAUCUCAAUGCUGAAUGUAGACUUUUUAUAUAUUUGUCUUCACAGAGUUUACUUAUAUUUUGUCCUUUUUAACCCACAUUUCUAGCUAAAAGUUUCAAAUGUCAUGAUGAAAGUCAUUCUAUCAUUGUAAAUUGUACAUAUAUCAACGUUUGUCUUAUGGUUCAGUAUAGCAGGUUUAGUCAAACCGGUAUACUGUUCUAUAGAGACACCAUUCUUUAAUAGCGCCGUACAAAGUGCGCAUUUGGUAUCAAUGUUAUGUAUCAGUGUUAUGUACAAAUGUUUACGUCGGUUUUAAAAUGUUCUGGUUUUCAGAAUGGAUUUUCUGAUUUUCUGGACUUGUUGAAUGGGAGGAUCCAGACCAUAAUAUAGAUUCUCAUAUGUGUAUGUACAUUUUUUUGUCAUCUGAAAAUUCAGAUGGUUUUCCAGUGUAACCUUAAGAAAUUCUGUUGCGCCUUCUGGCAAAAGUUUCUCCGAGAGAUGUAAAGAAGACAGUGUUGUGGCUUUUUGUUACUAAGCAAGUAAUGUCAAUUUGUUUUUGCACUGUCAAUUACGUGAGCGUAAGGUGUUACCUUGUGGAACCAGGUGUAUAUAAGUCUUAACAGCAAGGGGGAGGUGUCGACAUGUGACAGGUCCCCUGUGUAGGGCUCUCGUCAAGUUAAAGCCAAGGUGAUAAGUCGAGAAAUUGUAAGCAGCAUCGCUGAUCUCCAGCGUGUUCUCAGUUCCAGACGACACCUGUCACAAGCUUGGAGCAUAGAGCAGUGUGAGAAAUCUUGCUGAAAGUCAAAAUCUUGUUAGUUUUCUGAUGUCAUGUGAGACACUUCAAAGGCUUGCUUUAAAGUGCAAGACCAUCUUUGUGGUGUGUGCUUUUGUUCUAUAGAGAUACCAUGAGUAGACCUCUCGUGCAUUCAGUUACUGAGUAUAAAUAACAUAACACACCUCAAAUAUGGUUUCCGAAUGCAAAGAGUCAAAAUGGGUUGUGUACUUGUAGGAUUUUGUGGUAAUAGAGCCCAGGUUGUAAAAGGCACACAACUCUAAAUUUAAAAACGUUCAGAUCAUUUUUGAUUUGUAUGGUGAGGUUAAAAAAAAUUCUUUUUUUGUCAGCUUGUGACGUUUCCGAGAGAAAGAAUAUUCUUUAAAUUUUGAGCAGUUUCUUUUUUUUUCUAUAUAAAUCAAACUCCAUAUAUUUUUGUCUUUGUAUUUUUCUUGAGUUUGUGUAUAUUUUCAGGAGGUACUCACUGUAGUGUUGCAUCAGUGACUGUUCUUUUAUUGGUUAUUAUAUUUUGAUUUACAUUAUCAAUUUUUAAAAAAUUAUAUGUUGAAAAAGAAAUUAACAUGAUCAAAAUGAAAUUAAUGAUUUGCAACUGAAAUUGACGUCUGUACAUAUGUAAUUGAUCAGCACGACUUCUAUCCAUGUGCAUGAAAAUAAUGCUAGUUUGCUGUGAAACUUUACCAAAAGAGUAGGAGUGUUUAUAAUGUGUUAGAUAUCUGCUAGAAGUUAUCAAGAUUGUUAUAUUCUGAAGAAAUUCUGUUUGGCAGAAGGGACUAUUUGUAAAAAUUGGUUUGCGCUUUACUAAUAACCAGUGUUUACUGGAUGGCCAUAAUGAAAUUUACAAUAAAACCAAUGCACCUGAAUUUUUGAGAAAAACAAAAUAAUUUUGUGGAGAAAAAUAACCAUCUCUGUAUUCAAAAAGGUAUAUUUUGAACACUUAAAAAAUAGAUCGAGUGUAUAUUCGUUGUAUUUUACAAUUAUAGGAUUGAUAAAUUUAUAAUUUCUAUUCCCCCCCCCCCAUUUUUGAACUCUAUAAAGAAAAGUAGAUAGGUUCUCUGCAUUGCUUAUUUUACUUCAAGCGAUGAUUGUAAUAAGCGAGAAAAAAAGUAUCAACUAUAAUGUGUAAGCUAAAAAUUAAGCACCUAUGUCGUGUUGUAAAGGAUUUGUAAUAAAUUGUUAUUUUCUGAGCUGAUUAUUUUGUUCAUAUCUUGGGUUGAAAUUUGUUUAAAAUAAAACAAAUGGCAUUUAAAAUGAAAUUGUAAAACGUUGAGUGGGGAAAAAAUAGAAUUGGACAACGAUUCGAAAAUGAUUGUUAAUUGUUACUUUUGUCUCCAUUAAUUUUGAUAAAUCCAUCUGUAUAUAAGCCUAAGAUUGUGUCAGUGUCCAAGACUUUAACUUAAUUUAGAAAAUUGAUAAAUUUUUAAAAUCUAUUUGCCAUCCACCCUCUCCAGAAGUGACGACAUUUUAAAUUUUGUUUUCAAUAUUUAUUUGUCGGUGCUUAGUGGUAAUAUUCUUUUGGGAAAAGAAUUAAUAUUUGAGUACAUUGUUAUUAAAGAAAUAACCUUGCUAUUAAAGAAAAUCUUUAACUCCUUUUCUAUUUGAUUUGGUCUUUUGAAAUGAAAAACAUAAAUUUAUUUGAGAUGACUAAGCCAAGCAAUUGGUUUAAUACAUCGAAUGAAGAAGCAAAUCCUGUGUUUAAAAGAAAAUCAUAUUUAUAUUGAUUCCUUAUUAUUUGUACGAAAAUGUUGAUUUUGCAAGUUUUUCCCCCCUUCUUUCUUCAACUGUAUUGUAUAUAAUUGCAGCACUAUAAAUAUGCAUAUCACUGCAAACUGAUGAACAAGGGCAUGGAAUGAAAUAAAAUCAAGAUUUCAUUAAA
Molecule: long non-coding RNA, 3775 nt
Filed under: Patiria miniata (bat star)
Lineage: Eukaryota; Metazoa; Echinodermata; Asteroidea; Valvatida; Asterinidae
Description: uncharacterized LOC119737074
Source: RNAcentral